UACGAAGGGUGCAAGCGUUAAUCGGAAUUACUGGGCGUAAAGCGUGCGUAGGCGGUUUCUUAAGUCUGCUGUGAAAGUCCUGGGCUCAACCUGGGAACUGCGCUUGAUACGGCAGAGCUAGAGGAUGGAAGAGGGUCGCGGAAUUCCCAGUGUAGAGGUGAAAUUCGUAGAUAUUGGGAAGAACACCGGUGGCGAAGGCGGCGACCUGGUCCAUUACUGACGCUGAGGCGCGACAGCGUGGGGGAGCAAACAGG
This 254-nucleotide ribosomal RNA is filed under the name uncultured bacterium. RNAcentral's name for it is "partial 16S ribosomal RNA". It matches the Rfam family "Bacterial small subunit ribosomal RNA", at positions 524 to 776 of the family's 1533-position model. The record is from RNAcentral.